AGGCUCAAGCAAUUCUCCUGCCCCAGCCUCCUGAGUAGCUGAGAUUAUAGUGCCUGUAACAUAGAAGAGUCCAUGUCUUAAAAGAAGUCCAAAGCAGUCUUGAAUGAUCAGAACCCUUCUGCCAGAUUGUCUAAUGUCAGUUUGUUUCCCGGCACUGCUUCUACAUCUUCCUCAUCUUCUGGCACAGAUGAAUGCAUGACAUCUCUUGGUAAAAUGGCCCAGAAGAAACACAGGAAGGAGUUAUGAAAAGAUAACACCCGUAAGUGUGACUACACAUUUUGUGGUCCAGUCAUCAUUUCUCAAUUCUGCUUCUACCAAUAGAUGAGAAUUUGACAAGGAUGCUGCAGAAGAAUUCUCACAUCAGGCAAGGAGUCCAACCUGCUCAUGUUUAUUGUCCUGCACUGCUGAAAAUCUCUAAGGCUAGUAUGGAGAGUAACGUCUCUUUUCUGGUUGUAAGGCAGAUCCCUUCUCCUGUAAUACUUAGUUUGGGUUCUAUACAACUGAAGUGAAUUUUUAGUGACAAGCCCAUCAACAGUGAACUUGCUCAGAGGCUCACUAUCUACUUUAGUCCUCAGUUGUCAGGCCCAUGUGGAUAUGAAAUAGGAUGCAACUUGCAGUGGAAAAAUCAUGUCUCCAGUAUGCUAGGAUUGAGGCAGCACCUCUCUGCCUCUGCUGACAGGGGAGAGACUGAAGGAAGCUUAGCAAUUCCCAGGGAAGUGAUAUUAUCUUGUCUGUGUGGUUUGGUUCAUGCCAAGAUGUCUUUGGAUAACUUUAUAAAUAGCAGGUUAUACUGAAUACUAAAUGCAGUGCGAGCUAGGAGAGGAAAGUACCUGCCUUUAGGUCUACCUUUAUUCUUUAAUAAACAAGGUAAUUUACCUUGGGGCUUUGUGUUACUCUCUUAUGGAUUAUAAUUUUUUGACCAGGUACAGUGGCUCACACCUAUGAUAGUACUUCGGAAGGCUGAGGUGGGAGGAUUGUGUGA
This is a non-coding RNA of Chlorocebus sabaeus (green monkey), 982 nucleotides long. The record is from RefSeq and is a predicted model, not a curated record. Lineage: Eukaryota; Metazoa; Chordata; Mammalia; Primates; Cercopithecidae.